RNAcentral lists this ribosomal RNA (468 nucleotides) under uncultured bacterium. Its description in RNAcentral is "partial 16S ribosomal RNA". It matches the Rfam family "Bacterial small subunit ribosomal RNA", at positions 28 to 507 of the family's 1533-position model. The record is from RNAcentral.
GACGAACGCUGGCGGCGUGCUUAACACAUGCAAGUCGAACGGAAAGGCCCUGCUUUUGUGGGGUGCUCGAUUGGCGAACGGGUGAGUAACACGUGAGUAACCUGCCCUUGACUUUGGGAUAACUUCAGGAAACUUGGGCUAAUACCGGAUAGGAGCUCCUGCUGCAUGGUGGGGGUUGGAAUGUUUCGGCGGUUGGGGUUGGACUCGCGGCUUAUCAGCUUGUUGGUGGGGUAGUGGCUUACCAAGGCUUUGACGGGUAGCCGGCCUGAGAGGGUGACCGGCCAAAUUGGGCCUGAGAUAAGGCCCAGAAUCCUAAGGGAGGCAGCAGUGGGGAAUAUUGCACAAUGGGAGGAAGCCUGAUGCAGACACGCCGCGUGCGGGAUGACGGCCUUCGGGUUGUAAACCGCUUUCGCCUGUGACGAAGCGUGAGUGACGGUAAUGGGUAAAGAAGCACCGGCUAACUACGUG